This 254-nucleotide ribosomal RNA is filed under the name uncultured bacterium. RNAcentral describes it as "partial 16S ribosomal RNA". It matches the Rfam family "Bacterial small subunit ribosomal RNA", at positions 524 to 776 of the family's 1533-position model. The record is from RNAcentral.
UACGGGGGGAGCAAGCGUUGUUCGGAUUUACUGGGCGUAAAGGGCGCGUAGGCGGUCGUGACAAGUCACUUGUGAAAUCUCCGGGCUUAACUCGGAACGGUCAAGUGAUACUGUCGGACUAGAGUACAGAAGGGGCAACUGGAAUUCUCGGUGUAGCGGUGAAAUGCGCAGAGAUCGGGAGGAACACCCGUAGCGAAGGCGGCACUCUGGGCCGGUACUGACGCUGAGGAGCGAAAGCGUGGGGAGCGAACAGG